RNAcentral lists this ribosomal RNA (397 nucleotides) under uncultured bacterium. RNAcentral describes it as "partial 16S ribosomal RNA". It matches the Rfam family "Bacterial small subunit ribosomal RNA", at positions 523 to 918 of the family's 1533-position model. The record is from RNAcentral.
AUACGUAGGGGGCGAGCGUUGUCCGGAAUGAUUGGGCGUAAAGGGCGCGUAGGCGGCCCGGUAAGUCUGGAGUGAAAGUCCUGUUUUUAAGAUGGGAAUUGCUUUGGAUACUGUCGGGCUUGAGUGCAGGAGAGGUAAGUGGAAUUCCCAGUGUAGCGGUGAAAUGCGUAGAGAUUGGGAGGAACACCAGUGGCGAAGGCGACUUACUGGACUGUAACUGACGCUGAGGCGCGAAAGUGUGGGGAGCAAACAGGAUUAGAUACCCUGGUAGUCCACACUGUAGACGAUGAAUGCUAGGUGUAGGGGGUAUCGACCCCUUCUGUGCCGCAGUCAACACAAUAAGCAUUCCGCCUGGGGAGUACGGCCGCAAGGUUGAAACUCAAAGGAAUUGACGGGG